ACUUAUCGACCUAGAAAGCAGCAAGGACUAUCCAAUGCCUUAUCGAGGAGAUUGAAUCUUGUACUAAAGGCUGAAGAAGCAGCGUUUGAUCAAUAAUGUAUGACAUUGUUGAAGCCAGAGCAAUUUCGACUUUGCGCUACUAUUGUGCCAAUUGAUGCUGACUUCCUAAACCAGGUACAUGCCGUAACCAUUGAAGAUCCAGUAGCCUUUGAUAUCAAGCAGCGUUGACAUAUUACGUACUUUUCUGCUCGAGAACACGCCGGGUGUCUGGCUAUAGAAGGUAGUAUAGAGAUUCGUUAAUAUUCAAGCAGUCUAUCGGUUUUUGACUAUUGGAAUACAAACGAUUACAAGAAUAUACCGCAAAUCUAUACGGAUGUCCUUCGACUGCUCGCCGAAAUCUUUUUUA
This 406-nucleotide long non-coding RNA is filed under the name Physcomitrium patens. Its description in RNAcentral is "long non-coding RNA (PPAT_LNC005590)". The record is from RNAcentral. Lineage: Eukaryota; Viridiplantae; Streptophyta; Bryopsida; Funariales; Funariaceae.